UUCACCGGAGAGCAUGAGUCUUAGCUGAGUUUGUUCCCAGCGCCUGAUCUGGAGCUGAUCUCUUCUGUUUCCAUUUGCUUGGGCUAGCCUGUGUCCUGAGGCUCUGCCUGCCACCAGGUGGGCCUCACGUUGGCUUUGCAUUGUAUUCCUUGGGACUUGCCUGGUCCUACUUCCCUUGGCCAGGGUCUUCCCACUCAGAAGCUCCAAGCCCCGCAAAGAAAUCCAGAGGGGAAAGGCUGCUUCGCAGCGCCUGGCUGGCUCUUCUCUCCAGGACCCCCCAGCCAGAUCACUCUGCCACUGGUACAGCUGACACAAGUGCAGGCCACGGAAUCAGGUGGUCAUGGGCUCAGGUAGAGCUAGGACCUCAGAACGCCAUCCUAGCCAAUGCUCCUUUUCCAGGUCCGGAAAGAGAGGGGGUUUACUUAAGACCGAAAGUUCAAGUCUCUGACUUUCAGCUUGCUGGGUAACCAGUAUGACCUGGAGCUGGCCCUUAACCUUCCUCAGAGCCUGUUUCCCAAUUUCUAAAAUGAGGAUCGCCGCACGGUUCUCCUAAAUCUGCAGCAUGGCAUAGCCAUGAUACAGAUUGUCCUGUGAAGUGGAAUGGGACAGCCUCUGUUCAGCUCCUCUGAAAAUGGAGACAGAGAGGGGACCUGUGCAUCUUGCCAAGGUCAAGGGAUUGGAAUAGAGAGCCAUGCCCCUCUAGGACACUCGAGAUCGCCCGAAGGGGAGGAGCCCAGCAGAGAGGGAGAACGCCGUAGUCACUGUCCUGAGGCCAGGAUGAAGGAGGAGGACCAGGCAGAGGGCAUGGUGCCGGCUCCGCUCCCAUCGCUGCCCCUCCGAGACGUGGCCGGGGACCUGGGGAAACAGGCCCCAACCCCUCCUGUAGGGGCCUUUGCCUGUGAUCCUGCUGGUCGCCGCUUCUGCCUUUGUCAUAGCAUGUACCUGUCCUGGCUCAAGGCGCUCUGACCAGUCCUCCAGCAAAUAGAAGCUCUGCGCCAUCACACGUUCCACCCUGGAGGACGAAGGGCUGCACACUAGGAGGUGGCCCAGGCGCGGGGCUCCAGGCUUCUGGGGGUUAAUGACUCCCUCUCCCCAGCUGUCCUCCCCUUGGUGCUCCUCUUCCUCCCUCCUCCUGUUCACAGCAGGCAGGGCCUGGACCUAGGAGCCAGGCCGCUGUGCUGUUGCCAGGGGAGCCGGGAGCAGGAUCUGAGCUAUGCAGGGAAAAGGCCCAGCCUGUCAAAGUGUCUGAGAUGAACCGCCGCCGUCCCCAUGCAGCUGGGCUCAGACGUGUCUCGGCUCUUGUUCUGUGCCUGAGAAUGGCGACACCCAGUGAGGUUCAAGGGCAAACUCACUAUUCAUUAGUCAGAGGUUCUUGACGUCCCUGUCUCUCCCAGGGAUGGGUUCCUCCCCCCCCCCCCCCCCGCCCUUUUCUCUCCCUCCUGUGACACAUUCCUGGGUGCCUUUGGUGAGGACUACACACCCUCCUCCUCCUGCCCAACUCGUCUCCAGAGGCCCCUGAAUAAACUCCCCCCAAGGAGACCAGGCAGGGCAGAGACAAUGGCCACAGGAAAGCAUUCAGGCGGGACUCCAGCCAUGCUGGCCUGCCCUCCAUUCCCAGCGCCUCUGUGGGCCCCACCUCCCUCUGACUAAGGUACCCCUGAGCAACCAGCCCACACAAGACGAAGCCACUGGACACUGAUCUCUGGACAACAGGCCAGUCCAGUGCCAUUCGCAGUGGACCCCUUGGAUGCCCCCAUGGCUCAUAUGUCACAUAGCUGUCUACCUUGGUGCCUUUCCCUACCAUCAUGUGUCUAUUGUGUGACACUCUCUCUGUGAGUUGGAGCAUGUACAUUGUAUAAUAUUUUCUGAAAUGUGGCAGUAUCAAAAUAUAAAGGGCACAUAUACUUGGUUGCAAACAAAUUGCACUACUAGGAAUUUACUAUAUGGUUAAGAUGUAAGAGUUCCCAAAGAAAUAUGUACAAGAAUGUUCAUCAGAGUGUUUCUUUUUAAGAAUGUAAAGAAGUGGGACUGAGCCUAUGGUCAAUUCAUACUGUGAAAUACUAUGCAGCUACAAAAAUUGAUGUGGUAGGUCUCUAUGUAUUAGCUGCUGUGGGAGGCUGGCCAGUAUCUAUUCUUGGGUGGCUAGAAUAAAUCACACAACAGGUAA
RNAcentral lists this long non-coding RNA (2167 nucleotides) under Sus scrofa (pig). RNAcentral describes it as "lncRNA (ENSSSCG00060074362.1)". Lineage: Eukaryota; Metazoa; Chordata; Mammalia; Artiodactyla; Suidae. The record is from RNAcentral.